AGAGUUUGAUCCUGGCUCAGGACGAACGCUGGCGGCGUGCUUAACACAUGCAAGUCGAGCGGUAAGGCUCCUUCGGGAGUACACGAGCGGCGAACGGGUGAGUAACACGUGAGCAAUCUGCCCUUCACUUUGGGAUAACUUCCGGAAACGGAAGCUAAUACCGAAUACGACCACUUCACGCAUGUGAUGGUGGUGGAAAGUUCCGGCGGUGAAGGAUGAGCUCGCGGCCUAUCAGCUUGUUGGUGAGGUAAUGGCUCACCAAGGCUUCGACGGGUAGCCGGCCUGAGAGGGUGACCGGCCACACUGGGACUGAGACACGGCCCAGACUCCUACGGGAGGCAGCAGUGGGGAAUAUUGGACAAUGGGCGAAAGCCUGAUCCAGCAACGCCGCGUGAGGGAUGACUGCCUUCGGGUUGUAAACCUCUUUCAGCGGGGACGAAGCGAAAGUGACGGUACCCGCAGAAGAAGCACCGGCCAACUACGUGCCAGCAGCCGCGGUAAUACGUAGGGUGCGAGCGUUGUCCGGAAUUAUUGGGCGUAAAGGGCUCGUAGGCGGUUUGUCACGUCGGGAGUGAAAACUCAGGGCUCAACCCUGAGCCUGCUUCCGAUACGGGCAGACUAGAGGUAUGCAGGGGAGAACGGAAUUCCUGGUGUAGCGGUGAAAUGCGCAGAUAUCAGGAGGAACACCGGUGGCGAAGGCGGUUCUCUGGGCAUUACCUGACGCUGAGGAGCGAAAGUGUGGGGAGCGAACAGGAUUAGAUACCCUGGUAGUCCACACCGUAAACGUUGGGCGCUAGGUGUGGGACUCAUUCCACGAGUUCCGUG
RNAcentral lists this ribosomal RNA (825 nucleotides) under uncultured bacterium. Its description in RNAcentral is "bacterial SSU rRNA". It matches the Rfam family "Bacterial small subunit ribosomal RNA", at positions 8 to 845 of the family's 1533-position model. The record is from RNAcentral.